AGGAACCGGAUGCGAGAAAUCCGCUCGUCCGGGUCUUUGGGGGAGCAGGGAGGUAACGAACUGCUCUACCCGGGA
This 75-nucleotide unclassified non-coding RNA is filed under the name Mariniphaga anaerophila. The record is from RNAcentral. Lineage: Bacteria; Pseudomonadati; Bacteroidota; Bacteroidia; Marinilabiliales; Prolixibacteraceae.